RNAcentral lists this ribosomal RNA (253 nucleotides) under uncultured bacterium. Its description in RNAcentral is "partial 16S ribosomal RNA". It matches the Rfam family "Bacterial small subunit ribosomal RNA", at positions 524 to 776 of the family's 1533-position model. RNAcentral also lists the same sequence under 1 other name. The record is from RNAcentral.
UACGUAGGGUGCAAGCGUUGUCCGGAAUUAUUGGGCGUAAAGAGCUCGUAGGCGGUUUGUCGCGUCUGCUGUGAAAACUGGAGGCUCAACCUCCAGCCUGCAGUGGGUACGGGCAGACUAGAGUGCGGUAGGGGAGAUUGGAAUUCCUGGUGUAGCGGUGGAAUGCGCAGAUAUCAGGAGGAACACCGAUGGCGAAGGCAGAUCUCUGGGCCGUAACUGACGCUGAGGAGCGAAAGCAUGGGGAGCGAACAGG